Molecule: ribosomal RNA, 501 nt
Filed under: uncultured bacterium
Lineage: Bacteria
Description: partial 16S ribosomal RNA
Rfam family: Bacterial small subunit ribosomal RNA
Source: RNAcentral
AUUGAACGCUGGCGGCAUGCCUUACACAUGCAAGUCGAACGGCGGCACGGGUGCUUGCACCUGGUGGCGAGUGGCGAACGGGUGAGUAAUACAUCGGAACGUACCUUAUCGUGGGGGAUAACGCAGCGAAAGCUGUGCUAAUACCGCAUACGCCCUGAGGGGGAAAGCGGGGGAUCGCAAGACCUCGCGCGAUUAGAGCGGCCGAUGCCUGAUUAGCUUGUUGGUGGGGUAAAAGCCCACCAAGGCGACAAUCAGUAGCUGGUCUGAGAGGAGGAUCAGCCUAACUGGGACUGAGACACGGCCCAGACUCCUACGGGAGGCAGCAGUGGGGAAUUUUGGACCAUGGGGGCAACCCUGUUCCAGCAAUGCCGCGUGAGUGAAGAAGGCCUUCGGGUUGUAAAGCUCUUUUGUCAGGGAAGAAACACCGGCUCUAACACAGUCCGGGAAUGACGGUACCUGAAGAAUAAGCACCGGCUAACUACGUGCCAGCCGCCGCCGUAA